GGCCCGUAGUCGCGGAAAAGAGGAGGGGCCGAAUUGAGCGCGCUUCGGAGUCCUUCUUCCGUGAAGGAUUUGAUCACCAUGGCAGAGGCUCAACCUGUUUGUAGCUUCCUCUUCAAAAAGCGUCGCUCCGCUCCCGGGAGGGCUCAACGUAAGAGGCCGAGCAGCGACCAGGACCCCGGUAACAGCAGUGAUGAAGGCAGCACUGUAGUCAGGAAGGAGAGACGAAAGGAAGUUUCCAAUCCCAUGAUUCAGAAGACGAAGAAAAGUAUGAAGACAAAGACUUCCUAUGAGUCAAGCAGUAACGAUGAUGAUGACAAACCUGAAGGACUUGGAAUUGCAUAUAAAUCAACACGAUCCGCGAAACCUGUGGGUCCAGAGGACAUGGGUGCGACAGCUGUAUAUGAACUGGACACAGAGAAGGACAAAGAUGCCCAAGCCAUUUUUGAACGUAGCCAGCAAAUACAGAAGGAACUUCAAGGAAAGGAAGAUGAUAAGAUAUAUAGAGGGAUUAAUAAUUAUCAAAAGUAUGUAAAGCCAAAAGAUACAUCCAUGGGAAAUGCUUCUUCAGGCAUGGUAAGGAAGGGACCAAUCCGAGCCCCAGAACAUCUCAGGGCCACUGUGAGGUGGGAUUACCAGCCUGAUAUAUGUAAAGACUACAAGGAAACUGGAUUUUGUGGCUUUGGAGAUAGCUGUAAAUUUCUGCAUGACCGAUCAGAUUAUAAGCAUGGGUGGCAAAUUGAACGGGAACUGGAUGAGGGACGCUAUGGACUUAAUGAUGAUGAAAAUUAUGAAGUAGGUAGUGAUGAAGAUGAACUGCCUUUCAAGUGUUUUAUUUGCAGAAACUCCUUCAAGAAUCCUGUGGUAACCAAGUGUAAACAUUACUUUUGUGAAAACUGUGCCCUACAACAUUAUCGCAAGUCUCAGCGAUGUUAUGUAUGUGACAAACAGACUAAUGGUGUCUUCAAUCCAGCCAAAGCUGCCGUUUGUUUAUAGGAGCUAGCUACCAAAGGAUGCACAGAAGGAAAUGUCUUUGGUGGAAUGCAGGACCAGAACUUGGAUCCUGAAUAUCUUAUCACCCCACCCAAGGAGAUCAGCUCCCUUGGGGUUUGGAAGUAAGUCCAUCAGUAUGGUACAGAAACAGUUCAGAUCAUCAGGAUUUCAGCUCUAUUUCUCUAUCCCUUAGAAGGCAUUCAACUCCCCUUGGCAGAUAUCUUUUUCAGCCAGCCCCAAGAAGUGAGAAGGAAUCCUUUUGACAAGUGGCAACACCUUGCAAUCCUCCCUGUUGGCUUCCCCACUGAUUUAAGAUUAAAUGGUUCCAAAGCAGCAGUACAUUCUUGUUUCUCCUACUUACACUCCAACAACACAAGAGUGAAAAAAGGAUAAAAUAUGUCAGAGCAAGUGGCUGAAACUUACCUGUUUGAAAAAAGAAUGGUUCAGCAAUGCAUUUGCACUUGGCCUGCGUAUGAAAAAAAUGAGAGGUUGUACAGCAGCAUGUAAAAGAUGCAGAGAUUGGAGAAAGGCCAGAAACUUCUCCCUUCAGAAUAUAUAUACGAUUCAAAUAUAAAAAAAUAUGGCUGAGAGAGAGAAAAAUGCCAGCAUCAAAAGCCAGGAUACUGAUUUUGCAAUGGCAGGCAUGCCUAUGUUUUUUCCCUCCGUUUUUUUGCAUGAAUGUUUCUGAGCUUUUCCAGGAAGAAAAGAAGGUGGGCUGUUGGCUCAUGGAAAAGUAAAAUAAGAGACCUCCUUCAGUUUUGGAAAGCCAGUGUUAUGCUCUAUAGCAGCUGUUACCUGGCAGUAUGUUAUUUGCCCUCAAUCAGUAGAAUGAAUAAAAGGGUAUUCUCUAAAGCAAUGAUAUCACGAGAGCCCUUCAUUCAAGCUCACAUAUUGAUUGGAUAAGCAACUGUUUUUCCUAAACAUAAAGUUAGUGCUUGCUGGAGAUUUUUGUCCAGACACUGGAGGAAGAGUGAGAUUUAGUCUUAUCCUCUGCUGGUAGUGACCUGACCAAUUUUACUAUGCACAAUAAGGAAUAAUUCACCUCUGAGCCAGGCACUGUCUCACAUUAGCAUAAACCCAUAGGUCACAUAAGCUAAGAGAUAUUGAAUGGAGGCAAACAAGUAGUUCAAUUCUGUGUUUAUCUAAUUACUAAACAACCUCAUUUGCAGAGGGAUUCAUUUGAAAAUUCUACAAUGAGUGGGACAAAAUAUCAUGCAUAAAGUGCAUUUGCACAUCUAAUUUCAGCAAGCUAAUAACAGUAGAAUUUUUCCCCUGGAAAAUGAAGUUUUGGGCUAAUUUCAGGAAACAAAACAUCACUAUGUUACUUGGUUCCUUUGUGAUAUACUAAUAUUUAUUUUUCUCUUUAAAUCUUUGGUUAAAAUUAUUCAUGAAGGAAAUCAGACUGUUUUGGCAUAAGGCCUGGAUAUCUGAGGGAUCACCUAUCCUCAAUUGUUUCUCCCCAUCUGAUACAUUCCAGAAUAGUGGAUGCAUUCCAGGUUGCCUCUGAUAAAUAUUGUCAUCUUGUGGGAACAAGGAAGUCUGUCUUCUCUAUUAUGGUACCCACCCUAUGGACAGAAUUCUCCCAGAAAUGCAGCCAGUGCUUCCGUUAUGGGAUUCUGAAAAGCUCUGAAGACCCAUGGUUAAUGCGUUUCUGGGGGCCCUAUUGUGGCUUUUGCCACUGUUAUGACUGUUUCAGUCUGGGCUGCCUAAAUUGGUGCAGGUUUUCAAGUAUUGUUUUCGUUCUUGGAUUUUGCUCACUGGGCAGCCGCAAAAAUAAAUAAAUAAAUGGGGGUGGAACCCUGUAUUCAUGCUGAUUUGAUUACUUUGGUAUAUGCAUGCACAUUGUUAGUGCAGUUAUACACUGAUGUCAUUGUUAAUGCUUUUUGCUGCAAAAUAUAUAAGCCUGUUGAUUUGA
RNA transcript from Crotalus tigris (Tiger rattlesnake), 2905 nucleotides. It is a transcript of the gene named ring finger protein 113A, with no coding region annotated. The transcript has 11 exons. The record is from RefSeq and is a predicted model, not a curated record. NCBI's taxonomy places the organism in Eukaryota, Metazoa, Chordata, Lepidosauria, Squamata, Viperidae.